Molecule: ribosomal RNA, 385 nt
Filed under: uncultured Leptolinea sp.
Lineage: Bacteria; Bacillati; Chloroflexota; Anaerolineae; Anaerolineales; Anaerolineaceae
Description: bacterial SSU rRNA
Rfam family: Bacterial small subunit ribosomal RNA
Source: RNAcentral
GUACAUGCAAGUGGUAGGAAACCGAAAGGCGACCGACCUUCGGGAGCUUGCACAGGUGCUGCAUGGCUGUCGUCAGCUCGUGUCGUGAGAUGUUCGGUUAAGUCCGCUAACGAGCGCAACCCUCGCUGUGUGUUACAAGUGUCACACGGUACUGCCGGUCUUAAGCCGGAGGAAGGUGGGGAUGACGUCAAGUCAGCAUGGCCUUUAUGUCCUGGGCUACACACACGCUACAAUGGCCAACACAAUAGGUUGCUAAGCCGCGAGGUGGAGCCAAUCCUCAAAGUUGGUCUCAGUUCAGAUUGCAGGCUGCGACCCGCCUGCAUGAAGAUGGAGUUGCUAGUAACCGCAGGUCAGCUAUACUGCGGUGAAUACGUUCCCGGGGCUU